Molecule: ribosomal RNA, 253 nt
Filed under: uncultured bacterium
Lineage: Bacteria
Description: partial 16S ribosomal RNA
Rfam family: Bacterial small subunit ribosomal RNA
Source: RNAcentral
UACAGAGGUCUCAAGCGUUGUUCAGAUUCAUUGGGCGUAAAGGGUGCGUAGGCGGCGCGGUAAGUCGGGUGUGAAAUCUCGGAGCUUAACUCCGAAACUGCAUUCGAUACUGCCGUGCUUGAGGACUGGAGAGGAGACUGGAAUUCAUGGUGUAGCAGUGAAAUGCGUAGAGAUCAUGAGGAAGACCAGUGGCGAAGGCGGGUCUCUGGACAGUUCCUGACGCUGAGGUGCGAAAGCGUGGGGAGCAAACAGG